UCCUUCGUGGCUCAGAUGGUAAAAGUAUCUGCUUGCAAUGUGGGAGACCCAGGUUCAAUCCCUGGGUAGGGAA
Molecule: transfer RNA, 73 nt
Filed under: Bos taurus (domestic cattle)
Lineage: Eukaryota; Metazoa; Chordata; Mammalia; Artiodactyla; Bovidae
Also listed under: 2 other names
Rfam family: tRNA
About the family: Transfer RNA (tRNA) molecules are approximately 80 nucleotides in length.
Source: Rfam by way of RNAcentral